Molecule: ribosomal RNA, 320 nt
Filed under: uncultured fungus
Lineage: Eukaryota; Fungi
Description: LSU rRNA
Rfam family: Eukaryotic large subunit ribosomal RNA
Source: RNAcentral
AUAUUGGCCGGAGACCGAUAGCGCACAAGUAGAGUGAUCGAAAGAUGAAAAGCACUUUGAAAAGAGAGUUAAAAAGCACGUGAAAUUGUUGAAAGGGAAGCGCUUGCGACCAGACUCGCUCGCGGGGUUCAGCCGGCAUUCGUGCCGGUGUACUUCCCCACGGGCGGGCCAGCGUCGGUUUGGGCGGUCGGUCAAAGGCCCUCGGAAGGUAACGCCCCUAGGGGCGUCUUAUAGCCGAGGGUGCAAUGCGACCUGCCUAGACCGAGGAACGCGCUUCGGCUCGGACGCUGGCAUAAUGGUCGUAAACGACCCGUCUUGAA